Molecule: long non-coding RNA, 823 nt
Organism: Pectinophora gossypiella (pink bollworm)
Lineage: Eukaryota; Metazoa; Arthropoda; Insecta; Lepidoptera; Gelechiidae
Exons: 3
Source: RefSeq, a predicted model, not a curated record
CUUUUAUUAUAAAGUUUGUAGAAUUAGAUUGAUUGCACAGUAUCAUUCCUAAAAGAGUACAAAGUUUAUUAGAACUAAAAUAAUAUGAAUAAUUAGUACUAUUUUGCAGUUUAAGUUGUGCAUUUUCCUAGUGUUUUACUUGCAAGUAUGUAAUUGUAUUAUCUUGAGUAUUGAAAGUUGGUGUGCAGUUGUUACAAAGUUUAUAGGUAUCAUAUUAUUAUGUUAUGUAUAAUAGAAAAUAAUUGUAAAUGUAAGCAAAAUACACUUGAUCCCGCUCUGGGUAGAUACCUUACUUGUUGGUUUAUUCCUUUAGAUUAUUUCAAAAUACUUUAUGAUGUGAACCAAACAAAAUCACCAGUUAGCAGUAACAAAAGGUGAUAAAUCUUUGACUUUGACGUUUGCAAGUAGUCCUAAUAGCCACUGCAUCCUGAAUUGUAAUUAUGAGCCACCAAUAACAAAAAAGAUGUCUGUGACAUGGAUCCCUAAUAUUCUCUCAGAUGGUGACGAAUAAAAAAAGAAGAACCCAGGAGUAUAAAAAAUACUUACAUACAUACCUACCAUUGUGGUGCUGUACAUACAUACAUAGUCACACCACCAUACCAGGAUGGACUGAGCCAAGCACUACCAAGAAGACCAACUGCAGCCUCUUGUGAUGGACAUAAUGACCAGAGUGGUGACAGAUAAGCAACCCAUCACAAAUAUAAAUAUUUCUUUUUUCUGUGCAAGUUUUGAUGUUAUAAAUAAAAUACAAUCAAAAAGUAUUUGUAAAAAGUAUGUUUUAUUACUAGUUUAGUAGGGAACAGAAAUAAAAUAAAUAAACAAA